This 327-nucleotide ribosomal RNA is filed under the name uncultured eukaryote. Its description in RNAcentral is "partial 18S ribosomal RNA". It matches the Rfam family "Eukaryotic small subunit ribosomal RNA", at positions 1470 to 1796 of the family's 1831-position model. The record is from RNAcentral.
CCCUUAGAUGUUCUGGGCCGCACACGCGCUACACUGAAGGAGGCAGCGUGUACUCCUGGAUCGAAAGAUUUGGGUAACCCGCGAAUCUCCUUCGUGCUAGGGAUUGAGGUUUGCAAUUAUCCUUCAUGAACGAGGAAUUCCCAGUAAGUGCAAGUCAUAAGCUCGCGCUGACUACGUCCCUGCCCUUUGUACACACCGCCCGUCGCUACUACCGAUUGAAUGAUUUAGUGAGGACUUCGGACUGGGACCGAUGCGGCUUUCGGGCUGCGUCGGUAUUCUGGAAAGAUGUCCAAACUGUAUCAUUUAGAGGAAGUAAAANUCGUAACA